This 397-nucleotide ribosomal RNA is filed under the name uncultured bacterium. RNAcentral describes it as "partial 16S ribosomal RNA". It matches the Rfam family "Bacterial small subunit ribosomal RNA", at positions 523 to 918 of the family's 1533-position model. The record is from RNAcentral.
AUACGUAGGGGGCGAGCGUUGUCCGGAAUGAUUGGGCGUAAAGGGCGCGUAGGCGGCCCGGUAAGUCUGGAGUGAAAGUCCUGUUUUUAAGAUGGGAAUUGCUUUGGAUACUGUCGGGCUUGAGUGCAGGAGAGGUAAGUGGAAUUCCCAGUGUAGCGGUGAAAUGCGUAGAGAUUGGGAGGAACACCAGUGGCGAAGGCGACUUACUGGGCUGUAACUGACGCUGAGGCGCGAAAGUGUGGGGAGCAAACAGGAUUAGAUACCCUGGUAGUCCACACUGUAAACGAUGAAUGCUAGGUGUAAGAGGUAUCGACCCCUUUUGUGCCGGAGUCAACACAAUAAGCAUUCCGCCUGGGGAGUACGGCCGCAAGGUUGAAACUCAAAGGAAUUGACGGGG